RNAcentral lists this long non-coding RNA (626 nucleotides) under Malus domestica (apple). RNAcentral's name for it is "long non-coding RNA (MDOM_LNC013622)". Lineage: Eukaryota; Viridiplantae; Streptophyta; Magnoliopsida; Rosales; Rosaceae. The record is from RNAcentral.
UUUUUUAUUUAUAAAAUAAUACAAAAUCAUUUUUAAUUGUUUUCCUUUUUCUUUUUUCCUAUUCCUUUUCCAUUUCAUUUUUCCAAACUCAACCGACAACCAUUCUCUCAUUUUUUUCCAGAACACUCUUCAUGUUUCCUAGCCCUCUGUCUCUCCUUUUUCUCUCUCUCUCUCUCUCUCUCUCUCUCUCUCUCUCUCUCUCUCUACGACGCAACCCCCCUCAUUUCUGAAACCUCUCUCUCUCUUUAAUCUCUCUCAUUCUCUUGCAUGCAUCAUCAGAUCACAAUUUUGGUGCCGAAAUCGCAUGCUCCGAAUCUUCCGUCAGCUCCUUCUCCUCCUCCACCGUGACCACCGCUGGAGCUGGAGAGGAUGGGAUAGUGGACGAGAUCGGCGAGAUGUUGGAGGAGUUCGAGGCUCGACAGAAAAAAAAAAAACAUUAAAACAGGCGUCUGACGUCAGCUAACGUCAGACCCACCUCAGGCUCUCGGGCCGGCGAGAAUCGACGGGCCUGGCGCUCGGGGGUGCUCGGGCUCCCUCGCCAGCCAACGCUGGACUUCCUCCCUCGGGCAAUCAAGCCCUGUUCCAGAGCCUGUCCCUCGAGCAGGAGCUCCCGCUGGAGCUGCUCU